CACCGCCCGUCGCUACUACCGAUUGAAUUAUUUAGUGAGAUCUCCGGACGUGACCACUGUAACGCAUUUUAUGUGUUACGGAUGUUUCGCAAAAGUUGACCGAACUUGAUUAUUUAAAGGAAGUAAAAGUUGUGACAAAGUUUCUGUAGGUGAACCUGCGGAAG
This 164-nucleotide non-coding RNA is filed under the name Glossina morsitans morsitans. RNAcentral's name for it is "eukaryotic small subunit ribosomal RNA". It matches the Rfam family "Eukaryotic small subunit ribosomal RNA", at positions 1667 to 1823 of the family's 1831-position model. The record is from RNAcentral. Lineage: Eukaryota; Metazoa; Arthropoda; Insecta; Diptera; Glossinidae.